GGAUAACCACCAAUGAUGUGACAAAAUUAAAGGAACAGAAAAUAAAGUGCUCAAUGAAAUCUGAUCUGAAAUUAACUAUGGUGUAUAGUGCAAUGAAUACCUUAUAGAACAACAUUUUCAUUCUUUAAAUAUCAAGAUUUUCUAGAAUGUUCAGUGGAUGAGAGAGAUAAAGGAGAAUAACCUUUCAGAAGGGUUGUGCAUGUAAUUAAUUUGAACAGAAUUACAAGCAUCUAUGAAUACACUGAAUUCCACUUAUGAUCAUUUUUAUGUGUUAUCCUUUUUUCAUUGUGACAAAACAGUGGUAAGUCAAAUUUUCUCGCUCUUAGAUUUUGAAUCACAGUUUCUGUGGGAAAUGCAAAGAAGCUAUUACGUCUUAUAAAAUUUGCAACUUAUGACAACAAAUAAUUUAAUACAAGAUUGUGUAUUUCACGUGACCAACCGCAAGAGAAUUUUAUCUAGGCAAAGGAAAUGUAUAUCUACUGAACUGACAAUUUUCAUAUGGCAUAUCUGGCAUUAGUUAAACAAUGUAAGAGACAGGGUCUGCAGCGAUCCCCUUGUGGCUGAUUGAAUGUAAAACAGAGCCACAUGAUAUGUGUUUUGCGAAGCAGAACUUUAUGUCAGGUUACAGCUAGACACAUCUCCUCCUCAAAGCCCAA
Long non-coding RNA from Ahaetulla prasina, 656 nucleotides. RefSeq lists it as uncharacterized. The transcript is spliced from 3 exons. NCBI's taxonomy places the organism in Eukaryota, Metazoa, Chordata, Lepidosauria, Squamata, Colubridae. The record is from RefSeq and is a predicted model, not a curated record.